RNAcentral lists this ribosomal RNA (489 nucleotides) under uncultured bacterium. RNAcentral describes it as "partial 16S ribosomal RNA". It matches the Rfam family "Bacterial small subunit ribosomal RNA", at positions 30 to 507 of the family's 1533-position model. The record is from RNAcentral.
UUGAACGCUGGCGGCAGGCCUAACACCUGCAAGUCGAACGGUAACAGGAAACAGCUUGCUGUUUCGCUGACGAGUGGCGGACGGGUGAGUAAUGUCUGGGAAACUGCCUGAUGGAGGGGGAUAACUACUGGAAACGGUAGCUAAUACCGCAUAACGUCGCAAGACCAAAGAGGGGGACCUUCGGGCCUCUUGCCAUCGGAUGUGCCCAGAUGGGAUUAGCUAGUAGGUGGGGUAACGGCUCACCUAGGCGACGAUCCCUAGCUGGUCUGAGAGGAUGACCAGCCACACUGGAACUGAGACACGGUCCAGACUCCUACGGGAGGCAGCAGUGGGGAAUAUUGCACAAUGGGCGCAAGCCUGAUGCAGCCAUGCCGCGUGUAUGAAGAAGGCCUUCGGGUUGUAAAGUACUUUCAGCGGGGAUGAAGGGAGUAAAGUUAAUACCUUGGCUCAUUGACGUUACCCGCAGAAGAAGCACCGGCUAACUCCGUG